RNAcentral lists this ribosomal RNA (253 nucleotides) under uncultured bacterium. RNAcentral describes it as "partial 16S ribosomal RNA". It matches the Rfam family "Bacterial small subunit ribosomal RNA", at positions 524 to 776 of the family's 1533-position model. The record is from RNAcentral.
UACAGAGGAUGCAAACGUUGCUCGGAAUCAUUGGGCGUAAAGCGCGCGUAGGCGGUUACACAAGUUGGAUGUGAAAGCCCUCGGCUUAACUGAGGAAGUGCAUCCAAAACUGUGCAGCUAGAGUACUAAAGAGGGUCGCGGAAUUCCCGGUGUAGAGGUGAAAUGCGUAGAGAUCCGGAGGAACCCCAGAGGCGAAGGCGGCGCCCUGGCUCGCAACUGACGCUCAGACACGACAGCAUGGGGAGCAAACAGG